RNAcentral lists this signal recognition particle RNA (265 nucleotides) under Actinomycetota bacterium. Its description in RNAcentral is "Actinobacteria bacterium signal recognition particle sRNA large type". It matches the Rfam family "Bacterial large signal recognition particle RNA". Rfam says of the family: The signal recognition particle (SRP) is a universally conserved ribonucleoprotein involved in the co-translational targeting of proteins to membranes. Archaeal SRP consists of a 7S RNA and homologues of the eukaryotic SRP19 and SRP54 proteins. Lineage: Bacteria; Bacillati; Actinomycetota. The record is from RNAcentral.
CCGUGCUAGGUGGGGAGCUAGCGGUGCCCUGUACCCGCAACCCGCUCUAGCGGGGCCGAUGCUCGCCUUCGGCCUGUACGGUUCGGGAACGCCCCGGGAACGGAGCGACGAAGGCCGGGUCCCGCGCGACGCCAACCUGCGAACCCCGUCAGGACCGGAAGGUAGCAGCGGUAAGCGGGCGAUGGCGGGUGCCGCGGGAACGCCUGGCCGGAGCCACCGGUCCGAGUGGCGACCGAGCCGAACGUGGACAACGGCGAGUGCACGG